This 742-nucleotide ribosomal RNA is filed under the name Karenia mikimotoi. RNAcentral describes it as "LSU rRNA". It matches the Rfam family "Eukaryotic large subunit ribosomal RNA", at positions 38 to 672 of the family's 3401-position model. The record is from RNAcentral. Lineage: Eukaryota; Dinophyceae; Gymnodiniales; Kareniaceae.
GCAUAUAAGUAAGCGGAGGAUAAGAAACUAAAUAGGAUUCCCUCAGUAAUGGCGAAUGAACAGGGAUAAGCUCAGCAUGGAAAUUGGGGCCCUCGGCCUUGAAUUGUAGUCUUGAGAUGUGUUACCAACGGAGGCGCAGAUGUAAGCCUCUUGGAAAAGAGCGUCAGGGAGGGUGAGAGUCCCGUAUGUCAUCUGCAGUUCUCUGUGCACGGUGCAUGUUCUAAGAGUCACGUUCCUCGGGAUUGGAGCGCAAAUUGGGUGGUAAAUUUCAUCUAAAGCUAAAUAUUGGUUCGAGACCGAUAGCAAACAAGUACCAUGAGGGAAAGGUGAAAAGGACUUUGAAAAGAGAGUUAAAAGUGCCUGAAAUUGCUGAAAGGGAAGCGAAUGGAACCAGUUGUUCUUGGUGAGUAUUGGUGUUGUCUAAAGUGAUGGCUUGCCACUUCAACGCAAGUGUGGUGGCAGGUUUUGAUCUGGAUGCGAUACUGCUUCUCGCCUUGCAUGUCAACGUCAGUUCAUAAUUGAGGAAAACUCUAAGGACAUGGUAAUUCGCUUCCGAGUGACUGAAUGUCCUCAGUUGAACUCAUUUUUGAACUGCUCUCUGUGUGUCUGGUAGCACUGCUUCAUGUGCUUGCCUGCGAUCUUCUGCUCUGCAUGAAGGUUGUUGGUGCCAGGAGCAUGUCCUUGACAUUAGAACGAUGACGAAAUGGUUUUAUUCGACCCGUCUUGAAACACNNNCCAAGGA